ACGUUGCCGGGAGAGGAACGGGUCCCCUCUCUCUCUCUCUCUCUUUCUCUCUCUCUCACUCACUCUCUCUCGCUCACUCACACACGGCGGACGGAGAGUAGCAACAGAUAUUUUGACAACGAAAUUAUGACUCGAAGCGUGACUGCAGUGUGACCUCGAAGUGUGACCUCUGAAAUGAUAGUAUGGAAGGUCACUGGAAGCCUGACCUCUCUUGAUAAAGCCUCCGAAAAAGCUUGACUCAUAUACAUUCCAAGGGUUUAACACAUGACCUGAGUUGACCCCGCCAGUGAUAGCGUACAAGGUCACUCCAGAAUCCUGACCUCUUUUGGUAAGCCUCGUGAAAGCGUUGACCCAUAUACAUUCCAAGGGUUUAACAUAUGACCUGAGUUGACCCUGCAAGUGAUAGCGUACAAGGUCACUCCUGAAGCUUGACCUCUCUUGAUAAUCCCCCGAAAAAGGUUUGAUUCUAAUACAUUCCAAGGCUUCAACACAUGACUUGAGUUGACCCCGCAAGUGAGAGCGUACAAGGUCAAUCCUGAAGUCUGACCUCCUUUGAUAGGCCUCCGAGAAAACGUUGAUUCUUAGACAUUUCCAAGGACUUCAACACAUGCUCGGAGUUGACACGGCACGGUGGAAUCUUAUAGAGGCCCAUAGACUUCAACACUUCAAGGGCUUAUUAAACAAACGCCUGUAUGCUAAGACAAUGUGAGAUUCGAUAAAGAACCACACUGUCAAACAUCCCAUGGCACCCACGAUUUGGCACAGUGACAUUUGAUUGAAGCCCUUUUUGAACAUAUUCUGGGCUCACAUACACACGCAUACAUCGGUAAGGCUCUGUUGAAUCUAGUUGAAGCUUGAACAAACGCCUAUAUUGAUAAGGCACUGUGGAUACUGGUAAGGGUUUGCAUUCUACGACAUCCCAAGGCUAGCACACCCACGAUACUGCACUGUGGAAUCUAAUAGAGGCCCUUAGACCUCAGCAUAUCAAGGGCCUUAACAAACGUCUAUGUGUGUUAAGGCACUGUGGAUUCUGAUAAAGGGCUGCAUUCUAAGGCAUCCCAAGGCUAGCACACCCACGAUACUGCACUGUGGAAUCUAAUAGAGGCCCUUAGACUUCAGCAUAUCAAGGGCCUUAACAAACGUCUAUGUAUGUUAAGGCACUGUGGAUUCUGAUAAAGGGCUACACUCUAAGGCAUCCCAAGGCUAGCACACCCACGAUACUGCACUGUGGAAUCUAAUAGAGGCCCUUAGACUUCAGCAUAUCAAGGGCCUUAACAAACGUCUAUGUAUGUUAAGGCACUGUGGAUUCUGAUAAAGGGCUACAUUCUACGACAUCCCAAGGCUAGCACACCCACGAUACUGCACUGUGGAAUCUAAUAGAGGCCCUUAGACUUCAGCAUAUCAAGGGCCUUAACAAACGUCUAUGUAUGUUAAGGCACUGUGGAUUCUGAUAAAGGGCUACACUCUAAGGCAUCCCAAGGCUAGCACACCCACGAUACUGCACUGUGGAAUCUAAUAGAGGCCCUUAGACUUCAGCAUAUCAAGGGCCUUAACAAACGUCUAUGUAUGUUAAGGCACUGUGGAUUCUGAUAAAGGGCUGCAUUCUACGACAUCCCAAGGCUAGCACACCCACGAUACUGCACUGUGGAAUCUAAUAGAGGCCCUUAGAUUUCAACACUUCAAGGGCGGUUACACACACGCCUUAUAUGAAACGGCUCUGUUGAUUCUAAUAGAGGCUCUUAUAUACAUAUUAGAUAAGGCUUUCGUAGAGGCUGUGUUAGUAUAUCCAUGGGUAGUGUUAUGAGCCUAGUAGUAGUUUGACAAGGCUUCUGUACCGUGGACUUGUAAAACGCUCUUGAAAAUUUGUUAUGAGAACCUUAUGUGUUUGAAAAUACAGCACUAACACACCCAUAUUGGAUAAAGCUUUGGUAGAGGCUGUGUUAGUGUGUCCAUGGGUAGUGUUACAAGCCUGGUGAUAGUCUGACAAGGAAACACAAUCUUAAGAACACUUUUUGAAAAUACGUUUUGAUAGUCGAAAUCCUUUGAAAAUACAGCACUAACACACCCACAUUAGAUAAAGCUUUGGUAGAGGCUGUGUUAGUGUGUCCAUGGGUAGUGUUACGAGCCUAAUCAAAGCCUGAAAAAGUACACUGAUUGAGGUUGUGUUAGUGUGUCCAUGGGUAGUGUUACGAGCCUGAUGAAAGCCUGAAAAAGUACACUGACUGAGGUUGUGUUAGUGUGUCCAUGGGUAGUGUUACGAGCCUGAUGAAAGCCUGAAAAAGUACACUGACUGAGGUUGUGUUAGUGUGUCCAUGGGUAGUGUUACGAACCUAAUGAAAGAUUGAAAAGACAUUGAGCAUAGAGGUUGUGUUAGUAUGUCCAUGGGUAGUGUUACGAGCCUGAUGAAAGCCUGAAAAAGUACACUGAUUGAGGUUGUGUUAGUGUGUCCAUGGGUAGUGUUACGAGCCUGGUGGUAAUUUGACGAGGCUUCCAAACCAUGAACGCGAAGAAACAGAAUAAGAUUAAAACGAAGAAUGAGAACAAGAAGAAAAUGAGGUGAAGACAGUAUUGGAAAGAAGACAAUUUGUUGAUAUGAAUAGGAAGCCAAAUAAGUGUGCGAGAGUGUGAAGGAGGAGGAGGAGGAGGAGGAAGAAGAGGAAGAAGAAAAAGAACUUGAUGUCAAAAAUUAACGAAAAAUAAAGAAACGAACAGAGAAAAAGAAAAGAAGGAGGAAAAGAGUAAAAACAACAAGAAGAAAGAAGAAAAAGUGUGAAAAAAAUUAAGAAAACACUCAAGGAAGAAAAGGAAGAAGAAAAAAAGAACUUGAUGUCAAAAAUCAACGAAAAAUAAAGAAACGAACAGAGAAAAAGAAAAAAAGAAGGAGAAAAAGAGUAAAAACAACAAGAAGAAAGAAGAAAAAGUUUGGAAAAAAUAAAGAAAACACUCAAGGAAGAAAAGGAAGAAAAAAAAAAGAACUUGAUGUCGAAAAUAAACGGAAAAUAGAGAAACGAACAGAGGAAAAGAAAGGAAAUUAGAAACGACAAAAUAAUAAAUAACUAGAAAAAGAAAAAUAUAGAAAAAAAACAUUGAAGAAAACAAACAAAUAAAUCAAAACCGAGUGAAUACGAGAAAACAAUAAUAAAAACAACAACAAGAAAAAUACAAAAAACAACAACAGAAAAAAAACACGAAAAUGAAAACAAUUGAAAAACGCGAAGUGUGAAAAAGAAAAACAAAGACAAAACAAACAAGAAAAAACAAAACAGACUGCGACUGAAUAAAAAAACAAGAUAAAAAAUAAAAAUGAAAAAAAAACUUGAAAAAAUGAAAAUGAAUGAAAAACGCGAAGUGUGAAAACAAGAACAAAGACAAAACAAACAAGAAAACCAAAGCAGAAUGCGACUGAAUACGAGAAAACACUAAAGACAAGAAAAAAAAAGAAAAAAAAAACUUGAAAAAAUGAAAACAAAUGAAAAACGCGAACUGUGAACACAAAAACGCGAACUGUGAACACAAAAACGCGAACUGUGAACACAAAAACGCGAACUGUGAACACAAAAAC
Molecule: long non-coding RNA, 3562 nt
Organism: Eriocheir sinensis (Chinese mitten crab)
Lineage: Eukaryota; Metazoa; Arthropoda; Malacostraca; Decapoda; Varunidae
Exons: 2
Source: RefSeq, a predicted model, not a curated record